UCUACGCAUAGGCUUGGUCCUGGCCUUUCUGUUGGUUCUAGGUAAAACUACACAUGCAAGUAUCCGCGCCCCAGUGAGAAUGCCCUCUAAAUCAUACCUGAUUAAAAGGAGCGGGCAUCAAGCACACUACAAAGUAGCUCAUGACGCCUUGCUUAACCACACCCCCACGGGAAACAGCAGUGAUAAAAAUUAAGCCAUGAACGAAAGUUCGACUAAGUUAUACCUACUCCUCAGGGUUGGUAAAUUUCGUGCCAGCCACCGCGGUCACACGAUUAACCCAAAUCAACAGAAAUACGGCGUAAAGCGUGUUUAAGAGUGCAAAAAAAUAAAGUUAAAUUCUAGCUAAGCCGUAAAAAGCCCUAGCUAAAAUAAAAAUAAACUACGAAAGUGACUUUACGAAUUCUGAACACACGAUAGCUAAGACCCAAACUGGGAUUAGAUACCCCACUAUGCUUAGCCCUAAACCUAAACAAUCAACACAACAACAUUAUUCGCCAGAGUACUACUAGCAACAGCUUAAAACUCAAAGGACUUGGCGGUGCUUUAUACCCCUCUAGAGGAGCCUGUCCUAUAAUCGAUAAACCCCGAUAGACCUCACCAGCUCUUGCCAAUUCAGCUUAUAUACCGCCAUCCUCAGCAAACCUAAAAAGGAACUACAGUAAGCACAAACAUUAGACAUAAAACGUUAGGUCAAGGUGUAGCCUAUGAGCUGGGAAGAGAUGGGCUACAUUUUCUUCUAAAGAACACUUAAACUUCAUACG
This 761-nucleotide ribosomal RNA is filed under the name Rhinolophus sinicus (Chinese rufous horseshoe bat). Its description in RNAcentral is "partial 12S ribosomal RNA". It matches the Rfam family "Bacterial small subunit ribosomal RNA", at positions 9 to 1261 of the family's 1533-position model. Lineage: Eukaryota; Metazoa; Chordata; Mammalia; Chiroptera; Rhinolophidae. The record is from RNAcentral.